RNAcentral lists this ribosomal RNA (465 nucleotides) under Vreelandella stevensii. RNAcentral describes it as "partial 16S ribosomal RNA". It matches the Rfam family "Bacterial small subunit ribosomal RNA", at positions 338 to 795 of the family's 1533-position model. The record is from RNAcentral. Lineage: Bacteria; Pseudomonadati; Pseudomonadota; Gammaproteobacteria; Oceanospirillales; Halomonadaceae.
CCUACGGGAGGCAGCAGUGGGGAAUAUUUGACAAUGGUGGCAACCCUGAUCCAGCCAUGCCGCGUGUGUGAAGAAGGCCCUCGGGUUGUAAAGCACUUUCAGUGAGUAAGAACGCCUGGUGGUUAAUACCCAUCAGGAAAGACAUCACUCACAGAAGAAGCACCGGCUAACUCCGUGCCAGCAGCCGCGGUAAUACGGAGGGUGCGAGCGUUAAUCGGAAUUACUAGGCGUAAAGCGCGCGUAGGUGGCUUGAUAACCCGGUUGUGAAAGCCCCGGGCUCAACCUGGGAACGGCAUCCGGAACUGUCAAGCUAGAGUGCAGGAGAGGAAUGUAGAAUUCCCGGUGUAGGGGUGAAAUGCGUAGAGAUCGGGAGGAAUACCAGUGGCGAAGGCGGCCUUCUGGACUGACACUGACACUGAGGUGCGAAAGCGUGGGUAGCAAACAGGAUUAGAUACCCCGGUAGUC